Molecule: ribosomal RNA, 526 nt
Filed under: uncultured eukaryote
Lineage: Eukaryota
Description: bacterial SSU rRNA
Rfam family: Eukaryotic small subunit ribosomal RNA
Source: RNAcentral
AUUUAAAAACCUUAUCGAGUACCAACUGGAGGGCAAGUUCUGGUGCCAGCAGCCGCGGUAAUUCCAGCUCCAGUAGCGUAUAUUAAAAGUUGCUGCAGUUAAAAAGCUCGUAGUUGAAUUUCUGUUUGUAAGAGUCGAAGCUUUACAGCUAAGAUUUCUUCGAACAUCUGUUUGCAAGCAUACGUUCGGCCUUCACUGGUUGGCUAUGUAAGCAAGCGUUUUACCUUGAGAAAAUUAGAGUGUUCCAGGCAGGCUUCAGCCGGAAUACAUUAGCAUGGAAUAAUGGAAUAGGACUGGGGACUAUUUAUUGGUUUGAGGCUCCAGUAAUGAUUAAUAGGAACAGUCGGGGGCAUUGGUACUUAACAGUCAGAGGUGAAAUUCUUGGAUUGUUAAAGACUAACUAAUGCGAAAGCAUUUGCCAAGCAUGUUUUCAUUAAUCAAGAUCGAAAGUUAAGGGAUCGAAGACGAUUAGAUACCGUCGUAGUCUUAACUAUAAACUAUGCGACCAGGGAUAUGAGUUGUUAGG